GAUGAACGCUGGCGGCGUGCCUAAUACAUGCAAGUCGAGCGAACAGACGAGGAGCUUGCUCCUCUGACGUUAGCGGCGGACGGGUGAGUAACACGUGGAUAACCUACCUAUAAGACUGGGAUAACUUCGGGAAACCGGAGCUAAUACCGGAUAAUAUAUUGAACCGCAUGGUUCAAUAGUGGAAGACGGUUUUGCUGUCACUUAUAGAUGGAUCCGCGCCGCAUUAGCUAGUUGGUAAGGUAACGGCUUACCAAGGCAACGAUGCGUAGCCGACCUGAGAGGGUGAUCGGCCACACUGGAACUGAGACACGGUCCAGACUCCUACGGGAGGCAGCAGUAGGGAAUCUUCCGCAAUGGGCGAAAGCUUGACGGAGCAACGCCGCGUGAGUGAUGAAGGUCUUCGGAUCGUAAAACUCUGUUAUUAGGGAAGAACAAAUGUGUAAGUAACUAUGCACGUCUUGACGGUACCGAAUCAGAAAGCCACGGCUAACUACGU
This 496-nucleotide ribosomal RNA is filed under the name uncultured bacterium. RNAcentral describes it as "partial 16S ribosomal RNA". It matches the Rfam family "Bacterial small subunit ribosomal RNA", at positions 28 to 506 of the family's 1533-position model. The record is from RNAcentral.